GAUGUUAGAAUAGAGCUCGUAUUCGCGAAAUGCGAGCUCUACUCUGUAGUUCUUCUUGAAGUAUUCAUCAUGUCAGGUUCUUGUAGGAGGCAUAAGUUCAUGCUCUUCAGUCUUCUUCUUGCUUUGAUUCUCAUCUCAUCAGAAGCAUCAAGAUUUCCAAAGGAUAUGUGGAAACAGAUGCUGCCUAAAAGGCUUCCAUCUCCUUCUUCAGCUCCCUCUGAGCUCGCAUUUCGCGAAUGCGAGAUUAGAAUAGAGCUCGCAUUCGCGAAAUGCGAGCUCUACUCUGUAGUUCUUCUUGAAGUAUUCAUCAUAUCAGGUUCUUGUAGGAGGCAUAAGUUCAUGCUCUUCAGUCUUCUUCUUGCUUUGAUUCUCAUCUCAUAAGAAGCAUCAAGAUUUCCAAAGGAUAUGUGGAAACAGAUGCUACCUAAAAGGCUUCCAUCUCCUUCUUCAGCUCCCUCGAGAGGAUCAA
Molecule: long non-coding RNA, 469 nt
Filed under: Coffea arabica (coffee)
Lineage: Eukaryota; Viridiplantae; Streptophyta; Magnoliopsida; Gentianales; Rubiaceae
Description: long non-coding RNA (CARA_LNC003952)
Source: RNAcentral